Molecule: non-coding RNA, 181 nt
Filed under: Desulfosporosinus meridiei
Lineage: Bacteria; Bacillati; Bacillota; Clostridia; Eubacteriales; Desulfitobacteriaceae
Source: RNAcentral
UUAAUAUUAUGUUCAACAAGUACACUUCUCGAAAUAUGCCUAGAGAAAGUGUUUAAUAGGGAAGUCAGUUUGAUUCUGACGCGGUCCCGCCACUGUAGUAGGAAAAUGCCUUGCACUGUGCGCAACACAGCCGCCUAGGAUACUCCUAAAGCCAGGAACCUGCUUGUUUCGAACCUUUAAC